UAACUGUAUUCAACCGUAACAUU
RNAcentral lists this non-coding RNA (23 nucleotides) under Arabidopsis thaliana (thale cress). Lineage: Eukaryota; Viridiplantae; Streptophyta; Magnoliopsida; Brassicales; Brassicaceae. The record is from RNAcentral.